GCUUCCGUGGCUUAGUCGGUUAUAGCAUUCGGCUGUUAACCGAAGGGUCGACGGUUCGAUUCCGUCCGGGAGCG
Cryptosporidium parvum Iowa II is the source of this 74-nucleotide transfer RNA. It matches the Rfam family "tRNA". From Rfam's summary of the family: Transfer RNA (tRNA) molecules are approximately 80 nucleotides in length. Their secondary structure includes four short double-helical elements and three loops (D, anti-codon, and T loops). Further hydrogen bonds mediate the characteristic L-shaped molecular structure. tRNAs have two regions of fundamental functional importance: the anti-codon, which is responsible for specific mRNA codon recognition, and the 3' end, to which the tRNAs corresponding amino acid is attached (by aminoacyl-tRNA synthetases). tRNAs cope with the degeneracy of the genetic code in two manners: having more than one tRNA (with a specific anti-codon) for a particular amino acid; and 'wobble' base-pairing, i.e. permitting non-standard base-pairing at the 3rd anti-codon position. The record is from Rfam. NCBI's taxonomy places the organism in Eukaryota, Apicomplexa, Conoidasida, Eucoccidiorida, Cryptosporidiidae.